This 200-nucleotide ribosomal RNA is filed under the name uncultured prokaryote. Its description in RNAcentral is "partial 16S ribosomal RNA". It matches the Rfam family "Bacterial small subunit ribosomal RNA", at positions 1183 to 1382 of the family's 1533-position model. The record is from RNAcentral.
CGUCAAAUCAUCAUGCCCCUUACGUCUUGGGCUACACACGUGCUACAAUGGGCGCUACAAACUGUUACUAAGUAGUGAUAUGGAGUUAAUCAGAAAAAAGCGUUCUCAGUUCGGAUUGUGGGCUGCAACUCGCCCACAUGAAGUCGGAGUUGCUAGUAAUCCCGGAUCAGCACGCCGGGGUGAAUGCGUUCCCGGGUCUU